This 492-nucleotide ribosomal RNA is filed under the name uncultured bacterium. RNAcentral describes it as "bacterial SSU rRNA". It matches the Rfam family "Bacterial small subunit ribosomal RNA", at positions 29 to 498 of the family's 1533-position model. The record is from RNAcentral.
AACGAACGCUGGCGGCGUGCCUAAUACAUGCAAGUCGAGCGAGAAAGUCUCUUCGGAGAUGAGUAAAGCGGCGCACGGGUGAGUAACACGUGGGCAAUCUGCCCUCGAGUCUGGGAUAACCCGGGGAAACUCGGGCUAAUACCGGAUACGGCUGCGGGGUCUUCGGAUCCUGUGGAGAAAGAUGGCCUCUUCCUGAAAGCUAUCUCUCGAGGAUGAGCCCGCGUCCAUUAGCUAGUUGGUGGGGUAACGGCUCACCAAGGCAAAGAUGGGUAGCUGGUCUGAGAGGAUGACCAGCCACACUGGAACUGAGACACGGUCCAGACUCCUACGGGAGGCAGCAGUAGGGAAUUUUGGGCAAUGGGCGAAAGCCUGACCCAGCAACGCCGCGUGUGGGAUGAAGGCCCUCGGGUCGUAAACCACUGUCAGGAGAAAGAAAAGUCGGCCGGGUAAUAUUCGGUCGACCUGACGGUACCUCCAAAGGAAGCACCGGCU